Camellia sinensis is the source of this 834-nucleotide non-coding RNA. The record is from RefSeq and is a predicted model, not a curated record. Lineage: Eukaryota; Viridiplantae; Streptophyta; Magnoliopsida; Ericales; Theaceae.
CAGCGACCCAUCCUUGUCCAUCACGACCACAGCCUAAAACCCUGUCCCCUCUCUCUCCCUAAAGCCCUCCUCUCCUCCCGAAUUAGGGCUUUUCCCGCAUUUUCACUCUCUUCUCUACUGAAAGAGAGAGAGAGAGAGAGAGCAUUCUCUGAUUCUGGUUCUAGGGUUUUAUCAUUCAAUUCAACAAUGGUGUCCCCUAAGCUACUCCUUUCCACCAUCGAGUCUUCCCUCCUCGGCCCAACCUCUCCUUCUCCCUCUCAAAGGAUCGAGCUCAUGCACGCCAUUCGCCACUCUCUCCCCUCUCUCCAAUCCCUCAUCUCUUACCUUCCUCCAAAACAGUCAGACCGUGCUCAAGUCCAGUCCAGAGAAGUCAGGCUUCCGGAUUCUUCCCCAAUUUCACUUGAUGAGCAGGAUGUUCAGAUUUAUAUAUGUUGAGCAACAGUGGACUUGCUUCUUGUGAGUUAGAAUAUCUGCAAGGAGACAUCAAAUGGACCGGAAUCUCAAUUGAAGGGAUGUUCAUCCAUCAUUCAUUUCGUGCUGGAUUCCAUUACCUUCAGGAAGGCUCCUAAUAUGCUUUACUGUGACAUUUCUUCCUUUCAGCCAAUGGAAAUUUAUGUUGAUAACGAGGCGAAAUUGACCCUUCAUGGUCUUGUACAGGUUUUCCCCUUUUCUGACAUCUGUGGUCGUUAGUUCUUCCUUAACUUCAUCUCUGUUAAGAUGCUGAGCAUUUUUUACUUCCAUCCGGUCAGGCUGAGGAUCUCCUUCACCGUUUUUUGAUUUUCUUAGUGCUCCACCCAAGGUGAUACUCUUCUUUGACUCUAGUAAUUUCGCUAU